GUACUUCACUUGGUUAUACUUGUACUAUUAAGUUUAAAUUUGUGGAUUUGACACUCAGUUUAUACUUGCGAGGUAUUGCGAUGGUGGGAAGUGAACUGCAGUGGGGUUGGCAUCAACUUACCUUCUAGAUUACCAGGACCAAAGAUAGUGCCAACUUAUGAAACUUCAUCUUACCUGGUUGCAGUUAAUUAGAUUGCCUACAUCGAGUUUUCUGGUGCCCAAGCUUUCAACAAAGCAAGCCUGCAAAGGAUAUAAAGCUUAGUUGCUCUAUUUCAUCAUAAAGGGUGGAGAACAAAGCAGCUUCAAGAUUUGUAAGCUCCAUGUAUUCAAGUUUUGUAAGUUUUGUAGGCAGUUAGUAAGUUUCUAUGUGUUCUCGUAGAAAUUUGGAACCUUCCAUGUAUUCCCUUAGAAAUUUGAUACUUAACAAAAAAAAAGGGUUUGGUACUUAGAGAAAUUUCAGUUCUUUUGUUAUAUGAAUCUGAUAUGAAUUGAAUGAAUGUAAUACGAAUAGAUUGAAGAAAUUGUUGUUGAUUGUGGAUGA
Papaver somniferum (opium poppy) is the source of this 541-nucleotide long non-coding RNA. RefSeq lists it as uncharacterized. The transcript has 3 exons. Lineage: Eukaryota; Viridiplantae; Streptophyta; Magnoliopsida; Ranunculales; Papaveraceae. The record is from RefSeq and is a predicted model, not a curated record.